CCUACGGGUGGCAGCAGUGAGGAAUAUUGGUCAAUGGACGAGAGUCUGAACCAGCCAAGUAGCGUGAAGGAUGACUGCCCUAUGGGUUGUAAACUUCUUUUGCCGGGGAGCAAGGGCGGGGACGUGUCCCGGCCCGGAGAGUACCCGGAGAAAAAGCAUCGGCUAACUCCGUGCCAGCAGCCGCGGUAAUACGGAGGAUGCGAGCGUUAUCCGGAUUUAUUGGGUUUAAAGGGAGCGUAGAUGGGUUGUUAAGUCAGUUGUGAAAGUUUGCGGCUCAACCGUAAAAUUGCAAUUGAUACUGGCAGCCUUGAGUACAGUUGAGGUAGGCGGAAUUCGUGGUGUAGCGGUGAAAUGCUUAGAUAUCACGAAGAACUCCGAUUGCGAAGGCAGCCUACUAAACUGCCACUGACAUUGAUGCUCGAAAGUGUGGGUAUCAAACAGGAUUAGAUACCCCUGUAGUC
RNAcentral lists this ribosomal RNA (461 nucleotides) under uncultured bacterium. Its description in RNAcentral is "partial 16S ribosomal RNA". It matches the Rfam family "Bacterial small subunit ribosomal RNA", at positions 338 to 795 of the family's 1533-position model. The record is from RNAcentral.